Molecule: non-coding RNA, 712 nt
Organism: Drosophila melanogaster (fruit fly)
Lineage: Eukaryota; Metazoa; Arthropoda; Insecta; Diptera; Drosophilidae
Source: Ensembl
UAUAAAAGGCAAGUUAAGCGCAGACAGCAGUGGCAACCGGAGCCCGGCGAAAGGGGAACGGAUGAAGGGCGGAAGGACAAGGGAGCGGUGGCAGUGGCAGGAGCAGGCUGGAGACGGAUCUCGUGCUCAGUACCGGCAGCGAGAACAACAAUAACAAUGCGAAAAGGUAUUGGUGGCAAAACAGAACUGAAAAUCAAACUGCGGGGGAAAAAGGACCAAAGGACUCGCUCGCACACAGACAAUCGCACUGGCGCACCAGUGAAGGGAAAGCCCCACAGGAAAAGCUUCGGAAGUGCGCUCCAUGCCGCAAUGGCAACGGAAGCAGCACAGGACAGGACAGGACAGCCAGAACGAACGAGCGGUGCGGUGGGCGGGUUGGUUUGCUGGUUCGGUGGCGGUUGGGGAAGGCAGUUUGUCAAGUGGCGGAGGGGAAAAGGACACGAGGCGUAGCAUGAGCUGGUGGCAGAGGGCCAUGACACGACCUGCUCCUGCCGUUGUGUCGGCUAAAGAGAGAAAAAUGACUAAAUCAAAAGGAAGUGCGCCACACUGUGCGGUGUAAGAGCACGUACAAUACGCCGCACUAUGGAUUUGAUAAGCUGGCUCAUUUCACUGGACAAACGGCCAGCCGGUUCCAGUGUUUUAGGCAGGACAACAAGCGCGACAAACGCGCAUUAAAUUCCUUGCUAGUACCACUGACUACCAAAUUGUAAUU